UACGAGGGGUGCAAGCGUUGUUCGGAAUUACUGGGCGUAAAGCGCGCGUAGGCGGAUUUGCAAGUCGGGGGUGAAAGCCCGAGGCUCAACCUCGGAACUGCCCUCGAUACUGCAAAUCUCGAGUCCGAGAGAGGUGAGUGGAAUUCCUAGUGUAGAGGUGAAAUUCGUAGAUAUUAGGAAGAACACCAGUGGCGAAGGCGGCUCACUGGCUCGGUACUGACGCUGAGGCGCGAAAGCGUGGGGAGCAAACAGG
Molecule: ribosomal RNA, 253 nt
Filed under: uncultured bacterium
Lineage: Bacteria
Description: partial 16S ribosomal RNA
Rfam family: Bacterial small subunit ribosomal RNA
Source: RNAcentral